This 421-nucleotide ribosomal RNA is filed under the name uncultured eukaryote. Its description in RNAcentral is "SSU rRNA". It matches the Rfam family "Eukaryotic small subunit ribosomal RNA", at positions 592 to 1018 of the family's 1831-position model. The record is from RNAcentral.
CAAUAGCGUAUAUUAAAGUUGUUGCAGUUAGAACGCUCGUAGUCGGAUUUCGGGGCGGUCCGACCGGUCUGCCGAUGGGUACGCACUGGUCGGCGCGUCCUUCCUUCCGGAGACCGUGCCUACUCUUAACUGAGCGGGUGCGGGAGACGGAUCGUUUACUUUGAAAAAUCAGAGUGUUUCAAGCAGGCAGCUCGCUCUUGCAUGGAUUAGCAUGGGAUAAUGAAAUAGGACUUUGGUGCUAUUUUGUUGGUUUCGAACACCGAAGUAAUGAUUAACAGGGACAGUCAGGGGCACUCGUAUUCCGCCGAGAGAGGUGAAAUUCUUAGAUUGCGUUACGACGAACUACUGCGAAAGCAUUUGCCAAGGAUGUUUUCAUUGAUCAAGAACGAAAGUAUGGGGAUCGAAGACGAUCAGAUACCAU